GGUUAGGUCCUGCGCAAGAGAGCGUCGCGAACCCCGUCAGGUCCGGAAGGAAGCAGCGGUACCGACUGUCUCUCUGUGCCGCAGGGUACCCUAGCCGCC
This 99-nucleotide signal recognition particle RNA is filed under the name Deltaproteobacteria bacterium. RNAcentral's name for it is "signal recognition particle sRNA small type". It matches the Rfam family "Bacterial small signal recognition particle RNA". From Rfam's summary of the family: The signal recognition particle (SRP) is a universally conserved ribonucleoprotein involved in the co-translational targeting of proteins to membranes. Archaeal SRP consists of a 7S RNA and homologues of the eukaryotic SRP19 and SRP54 proteins. The record is from RNAcentral. Lineage: Bacteria; Pseudomonadati; Myxococcota; Myxococcia.